CCUACGGGAGGCAGCAGUGAGGAAUAUUGGUCAAUGGGCGCGAGACUGAACCAGCCAAGUAGCGUGAAGGAUGACUGCACUACGGGUUGUAAACUUCUUUUAUAAAGGAAUAAAGUGAGGCACGUGUGCCUUUUUGUAUGUACUUGAUGAAUAAGGAUCGGCUAACUCCGUGCCAGCAGCCGCGGUAAUACGGAGGAUCCGAGCGUUAUCCGGAUUUAUUGGGUUUAAAGGGAGCGUAGAUGGGUUGUUAAGUCAGUUGUGAAAGUUUGCGGCUCAACCGUAAAAUUGCAAUUGAUACUGGCAGUCUUGAGUACAGUUGAGGUAGGCGGAAUUCGUGGUGUAGCGGUGAAAUGCUUAGAUAUCACGAAGAACUCCGAUUGCGAAGGCAGCUUACUAAACUGCCACUGACAUUGAGGCUCGAAAGUGUGGGUAUCAAACAGGAUUAGAUACCCGAGUAGUC
This 460-nucleotide ribosomal RNA is filed under the name uncultured bacterium. RNAcentral's name for it is "partial 16S ribosomal RNA". It matches the Rfam family "Bacterial small subunit ribosomal RNA", at positions 338 to 795 of the family's 1533-position model. The record is from RNAcentral.